Nilaparvata lugens (brown planthopper) is the source of this 562-nucleotide long non-coding RNA. RefSeq lists it as uncharacterized. Lineage: Eukaryota; Metazoa; Arthropoda; Insecta; Hemiptera; Delphacidae. The record is from RefSeq and is a predicted model, not a curated record. The transcript is spliced from 4 exons.
AGACAACAAAUUCUGUCAGUUGUGUUGUGCUCAGUCCACGAGUGUGAGUCCAGUGAAGUAAGUUGAGUGAAGUUGUGAAUUGUGAAAGUCGUUUUGCGAUGUUCUUUCAAUCAGUAUUUAAUUAGUGAAGUAUACAAUCAAAUGAAGUGAUAAUUUAGUGGCUAUCGAAGUAAAUGUGAAACAGUAUAAUUCUUUGCUUUAAAGGACUGGUAUGCACCUGAAGUAAAGAUUAUGAGAAGACCUCAGUUAUUCAUGAAGACCAGCUCUACUACAAUAAUGAAGAUAUGGAUUGGUGAAUUUGAUUAUAAAAUUUCAGCUUCAUUCUCAUGGACGAACAUUGGAAUACCUUCUAUAGAGUGAAGCCUUCAACAGUUCUUAUAGUGAAGCCUGUGUUGUUACGUCCGGAAUUUUAUUAGUGAAGUUUAGUACCGAAGUUAAUUAGUGCAAUAUUACAACAGUGAUAAUUCAGUGGUUAGUGAAAUAAAUGUAUAUCUGUUUGAACUUCAAGACGAAGGUUUGGCUACCCUACUUCAUGACUCAAAGACAAUUAAUCAGGUCUGUC